UUUAGUCUACAUCUGACCUGUCAUACAAAUCAAAAUGUGGUAACUGUGUCUGGAAGUUGUAAAAAAUUCUCAAAUACAAUAUGCUACUUUCAGCAUUUGGAAAUCCAAGUUCAAACACAAAUCUAAAACUGUAACAGUAAGGUAGUGGCUCACUUCCUGGGAUUGGCAACAAUCAUCUGGCAGGUUGGCCCAAUAUAUAUACAAAAAUAAAUAAUACAGUACACAAUGGGCAAAAAAAAGAAACAUACCAAAUUUCUUUUAUAAGAUAUCAGCAGGCAAUAUAGCUGCACAUACAUAGACAAUACAGCAGAGACAUCACUCCCAGGUUUCACUUCUUUUUGCCUGAGACAUACACC
Molecule: long non-coding RNA, 356 nt
Filed under: Triticum aestivum (bread wheat)
Lineage: Eukaryota; Viridiplantae; Streptophyta; Magnoliopsida; Poales; Poaceae
Description: long non-coding RNA (TAES_LNC012253)
Source: RNAcentral